This 72-nucleotide transfer RNA is filed under the name Camelus bactrianus (Bactrian camel). It matches the Rfam family "tRNA". Rfam says of the family: Transfer RNA (tRNA) molecules are approximately 80 nucleotides in length. Lineage: Eukaryota; Metazoa; Chordata; Mammalia; Artiodactyla; Camelidae. RNAcentral also lists the same sequence under 1 other name. The record is from Rfam by way of RNAcentral.
AGGGUAAUAGCUCAGUGGUAGAGUGUAAGUUUAGCAUGCAUGAGGUCCUGGGUUCAAUCCCAAGUACCUCCA